GAUGAAGAACGCAGCGAAAUGCGAUAAGUAAUGUGAAUUGCAGAAUUCAGUGAAUCAUCGAAUCUUUGAACGCACCUUGCGCCCUUUGGCUAUUCUGAAGGGCAUGCCUGUUUGAGUAUCAUGAACACCUCAACUCUCAUGGUUUGCCAUGAUGAGCUUGGACUUUGGGGGUCUUGCUGGCCUACGGUCAGCUCCUCUCAAAUGAAUCAGCUUGCCAGUGUUUGGUAGAGUCGCAGGUGUGAUAACUAUCUACGCUUGUGGUUUUCUGCCAGAUAACCUUCAGUGAUGGAGGUUCGCUGGAGCUUAUAAAUGUCUCUCCCCAGUGAGGACAGCUUUUUGAACGUUUGAUCUCAAAUCAGGUAGGACUACCCGCUGAACUUAAGCAUAUCACUAAGCGGAGGA
This 402-nucleotide unclassified non-coding RNA is filed under the name soil metagenome. Its description in RNAcentral is "partial contains 5.8S ribosomal RNA, internal transcribed spacer 2, and large subunit ribosomal RNA". The stretch from base 1 to 121 matches the Rfam family "5.8S ribosomal RNA", at positions 35 to 154 of the family's 154-position model. The record is from RNAcentral.